This is a long non-coding RNA of Leptinotarsa decemlineata (Colorado potato beetle), 351 nucleotides long. The record is from RefSeq and is a predicted model, not a curated record. Lineage: Eukaryota; Metazoa; Arthropoda; Insecta; Coleoptera; Chrysomelidae.
GUUAGUUGUUUUCUGAAGUGGAAAGUUACAUCAAAUUUCGAUAUUUCUUUAUCUCGUCGAGAGAUAACCUCUUGUUUAUGUAGAGAGAUUUUUACAGUUUGGAUGUGAGAUAAGUGUGCAUUUAUUCGACCGAUAUAAUUUCGGAGGUCAUUCCACAGUUGAAAGUGAACUAAGUGGCCCGGUUUUCAAGAUGCAGGAACAAGUGACAGAUUCUCAAACUUUACGGGAUAUAGCCACCCGCAUAAGGAUCCACAGCGUGGAAUCGACAUCUGCGGCUAACUCUGGCCAUCCAACAACAUCUUCCUCCAUCGCCGAAAUCCUCUCCGUCCUCUUCUUCAACACCAUGAGGUA